RNAcentral lists this ribosomal RNA (433 nucleotides) under uncultured bacterium. RNAcentral's name for it is "partial 16S ribosomal RNA". It matches the Rfam family "Bacterial small subunit ribosomal RNA", at positions 29 to 507 of the family's 1533-position model. The record is from RNAcentral.
AACGAACGCUGGCGGCAUGCCUAACACAUGCCAGUCGAACGAUCCCUUCGGGGAUAGUGGCGCACGGGUGCGUAACGCGUGGGAACCUGCCCUUAGGUUCGGAAGAACUCAGAGAAAUUUGAGCUAAUACCGGAUAAUGUCUUCGGACCAAAGAUUUAUCGCCUUUGGAUGGGCCCGCGUUGGAUUAGCUAGUUGGUGGGGUAAAGGCCUACCAAGGCGACGAUCCAUAGCUGGUCUGAGAGGAUGAUCAGCCACACUGGGACUGAGACACGGCCCAGACUCCUACGGGAGGCAGCAGUGGGGAAUAUUGGACAAUGGGCGAAAGCCUGAUCCAGCAAUGCCGCGUGAGUGAUGAAGGCCUUAGGGUUGUAAAGCUCUUUUACCCGGGAUGAUAAUGACAUUACCGGGAGAAUAAGCCCCGGCUAACUCCGUG